This 6257-nucleotide long non-coding RNA is filed under the name Sus scrofa (pig). Its description in RNAcentral is "lncRNA (ENSSSCG00000061924.1)". Lineage: Eukaryota; Metazoa; Chordata; Mammalia; Artiodactyla; Suidae. The record is from RNAcentral.
UUUUCCCCCUCUGAUUUGCAACCUUGCCUAGCCUUGCCAAUCCUGGUAAAUCUCUUUAUUAUUUCCUAACCAUUGUGUUCGUAAGUUUUCUACAUUAUUUAUCUAGGUAACAUCAUCUUCUUUAUUAGGCGGUAUUAUUAAAGUGAUUCAUUAUGUUUCCGGAUGGGUUUUAAAAGGCAAGAAAAUAUCCUCUACUCCUUAAUAAAAAUAAUAACUGUGAGUGGAAAAUGUAGUCUGGGCAGGCAGAGUUCCUUUAAUUAAGGGCCUUCCUUGCUGGGAGCUCAGCUAGCGCCUGCCUGAGUCAGGAAUGCAAGAUUGACGUCUGGCUAAGAAAGCCUUCACCAAGCGAAAAUGGGAUCCAGCGUCAAGCCAGUGCACAAAGGGGCUGGAAAAGAAAAUAAUCACUGGUGGUCUCGUUCUGUAUUGCUGCGAAACUCUUUUUCUGUAUUUCAAAGCCAUGUCCAAGUAUUUCUUGUAAACAGAGAGACCGUAUUUUGUAAGAUUAUCAAGAAAUUGAUAUUAUUUAUUCCCCGGUAAUACACACGCACAAACCCAUGCAUUUUAAAAUAUGCCUGUACAUAAAUAUCUCCAUACAAAUAUACAAGAAUCUGCCUAGAAUUGCCUGGAAACAGAGACAAGUCUGGGAUAGGAGGGACCUUUCCUCUUCAUUCUAUCCUUUUCUGCAUUGUUUUCUUUACUGUGUACAUGUAAUGCAAUGCAGCGUAAAUGAAAAAGAAUGAGUUUUUGUGAAAGUGGGGCUAGAGUGUUUUAAGUCAAUCCCUGACUUGUCAUUUCACCUUUUCCAUCUGUGAUUAUGUCAUUCUGCCAUUCCCGUGUUACAAUUUCUUCGUUAGCAGUUUAGCUUGGCGCUUUCCUUGAGUUGUCUUAAUGGCAGUGACAUUUCUUAUCAUGAACUUUCUAACGAUAUUAAUGAGAAUCUAUGUUAAUGCCCCACCAUGUGUCAGGCACGGGUCCAAGCAAUUUACGUGUAUUAAGUCCCACAAACCCCAGGGAGAUGGGAUCUACUAUCAUCUGUGGUUUUAUAGAGGAGGUAGUGGAAGAAGUAGAGCUAGGGUUGAUAAUAGAUCACUUCUGAACAGUUCAUCUUUUUCUUGGUGUUUUUCAUCACCUUACUAAGUAAUCCACAGUUUACCGGUGUUUUGCCUGCUAGGUUUCAGGGUGAAUCGUAUUUUUGUGUCUGUAGCCGUCUUGUCAUAACACAGGAGUAGAGUCUGUGGACUGAGAAAUGGUCUGUGUGGUGAAAGACAGACAUUUAAAGGGCUUUAUAAUUUUGGGUUAGUAAUGGUAGGAAAAGAAAACGUUUUCCUUGACCCUCGUCGGGUUCCUGGCUGGGUCUGAAAAAAAUGAGACCGACAUGACAGAUUAUAGGAGAAAGUAUACAAAUGUAUUUAAUGUCUUAGAUGACAUAGGAGCCUUUUUAAGGAAAGAUCUGUAGAGGUUAAACCUGGGUGUCUUUAUUUUUUGAGAUCUCACUGUAUUGAUUCAGUAAAAUCUAGAUUGCUUGUUUAAAAACAAAAACAAAACCCAAAACACCUGAGUGUCUUUAUGCUCAGUGGAUAAGGGGAAACUUAGCGAGGCCUGUCCAUUCAGUUUCCUCUCUGUGCUCUUUUCUCUUUGGAGAUGGGGCGCCCCUUUCCUCUGGCUGUAGGGGAGGCAUCUCUCACAGGAGGAAUUUAAGGGGAAGGUUAGAAAGUUCUCAGAUUCCUUCAGCUUAGAAGGUUUAAUAAGUCAAAGUGCCACAUUUUGCAUAUCGGGUCCCGAUUAUGAACGUUGUCACAAUCCUGCCAAAGAUGCCGUGUUUUAGGUGUGUGGCUCUGCAUCACAUACACAUUUUAACCUUAUGUUAGAAAAAUAGACGAUAAAUUUUAUUCAUCGUCUAUUUUGGAUUCGAAGUGCCUAACUAUAUUUUAGUCUCUGUUCAGUUUUGAAUGGCAUUCCUUCCAAAUUUGUUUUUCAAUUUAUGAUUUUCAGAAAACAAUAGAAUGGAUUAGAUCUACUAAAAACCAUCCGAACAGUCUUUACAAGGCAGCAAAUCUUCCUAAUUACCAAACUUGAAUUGCUAGUUUCUUUACCUUCCUAGGAAUUAGUAUCAGACAAUAAGAACAAAGGUGGAGGUUGCAUAAAAGUCAGAGAAGUCCCCCCCCCCCCCCCCCCCCCGGUCUGUUCCUUGGUGGCAAAUUCCAUCUCAAUACUGUCGAGAAAUGGGAGGUGAGUAAAUUAGCACGUGAAAGCAAGGCCCCUUUCUCUCUCUUCCUCAGCUUCUGUGGGUUUGAUUGGCUUUAGUGGUAACCUUCCAGCAUUUUUCUGUCAAUCAGGCUUGAAACCUUAUUUGAUGAAUAGUGGUUAUGAGAGCGCCAUGCAUGGCAGAGGACUUUAUACUUUUCAAAGUGCUGCUCCAUCCAUGAUGUAUUUUGUUCUUUCUUCCCUUCAUCUUCUCUCUCUCCAGUUUGUGUUACGUUUCUAUUGAUUUCCUGCCUAUUAUGUCUUUUAGAUUCAACCCCUUCAUGCCAGUAACUGAUACCAUAAAAAUCACAGCAUGGUGGGGCUGGAAGGAUCCCUAGAGGUCAUUUAAUAUGAACGUCUCAUCUGUUAAAUGAAGAAACAGAUACAGUAAGAGUUAAGUAACUUUGGCAAGAGUAUAGAUUACCCCUGCCCCCGCCCUGCCCAGUGCACAGUUCCCUGGACCCCUGCUUUCCAGACCAUAGAUAACGUUCUGAUUCCUUAGUUCUUCAGGAGGAAAAUUUUUUUCAAAUUCCAUUUUCUUUUCUUCCUUCCUUUUUUUUUUUUUUUUUUUGUCUUUUUAGGGUCGUACCUGUGGAAUAUGGAAGUUCCCAGGCUAGGGGUGGAGUCAGAGCUACAGCUGCUGGCCUACACCACAGCCACAGUCAGAGCAACACGGGAUCUGAGCCGCAUCUAUGAGGUACACCACAGCUCAUGGCAAUACUGGAUCCUUAAUCCACUGAGCAAGGCCAGGAUUCGAACUCGCCCCUUCAUGGUUACUAGUCCAGUUCUAAACCUGAUGAGCUUUUUUAUUUUAUUUAUUCCCUUUUUUAUUUAUCCCUAAAUAAACUAUUCCCUAUUUUCUUAGAACAUGUAUGUAUUUUAUUUUUAGAAAUUCAUUACAUUGGAAUAUAUGUAUCUUUUGUAAUGUACUGAAGUUUGGGGUGUAUAGUUUUUAUUCACCCAGAUUGCUUAAAAUAUCUUUGGUUAAAAUUGUGCCACUUAUUUUUUUUUGUAUGCUUCUUCACAGUGUUUAAUACAGUGUUCUGAGUUGGUUCUCAGUUAAUAAAAAUAAAGUUCUCUUCCAAGUUGAGUGCAAAGAUAGUGCUUGGAAAUAUUUCUUUCAAGAACAGCUGCUUAUUAAGUGGUUAGUGAUCUUCCUCUACUUCCUCCAUUACUAUACACUUAUUUUUGCAUAUAAUUGUAUUUUUUUCUCAUGUCACUCUAUUACCUAUUGUAGAGGAGAAAAAAAUAAUCUUUUUUCUCUAUCCUUUUUAGUUCUGGACUCUGACCUUUUAACAAAAGACAGAUUAAUGAGCGAAAAGCAUACACGUUUAUUUAAUAUGUUUAAUAUAACAUGAGAGCCUUUAUGAGGAAAUGAAGCCCUGAUGAAAGAAAAUAGUUAAAUUUGAGUGUUUUCUGCUAGAUUUGUUGAAGAGUGGAAAGUUUUGGAAAGAUCUCAGUGAUGGGACAAAGGAUAUGAGGUAAGUGCAGUAAACUAGGGAAAAACGUAGCAAAGGCCUGUGCAUUCAGCUUUAUCUCUGUGUUCCUUUCUCUUUGGAGAUAAGGAUGAUCCUUUAGUCUAGGUAUAGGGAGGGUUUUAUGAUCUGUUUUAGAGGAAGGUCAGAAAGUCCUUGCACUUGCCAUUUCUCAGAUUCCUUCAGCUUAAAAUAUAAAUAUGUCAAGGUGCCAUAUUUUGGGGCAGCAUAUUCUGAACCCCAUGAUAUGAACUCCUUGAAGGGAAGAAAAACUGUGCCUCUGGUGCACAGCAUAUAGUAGGCUUUAAAAAAAUAUGUCUUUCAUCUAAUUUUAUUGGAGACACCAAGCGUUUUAGGAGUACUUAGGAGCACAGAGGAAGGAGUGAUUCAUUUUUCUACAGGUGACACAGUGUUCCAGAAGCUGGACCAACAUUUGAGCUGGUCCUUGCAUUUACUGGACUAGGGGAAGGACAUUUCAGGUAAAAUAAAUUGUGUCACCACGAUAGGGAGAUUUCCAGCAUUUUAGAUGUGACUUUUUCCAAGUUGCCUCAGUUGACCAGUGCAUUGAAAGACUAAAAACAUAGACCUCUAAGGGCUAGUCUGUUUCUUUGGAAUAAAAGAAGUAAAAAAUAUUUUCUUAACUUUUGUUUAAAUAAAUCAUUGGAAAAUAAGAGUAUGCAAGGAAAUAUGUUGAAAAUUAGAUGAAAAUUACUAAACUCAAAUCUGUACUCUUAAUAAAGUGAGGUCACUUAUUUGGUUAAGCAGAAUAAGUUCUUAUUUAAAAUUGCAAUAAGCUCGAUAAUAUAAUUCUGAUUAUACUUUACUUUUGUAAGAUUUUCAAAUAUUUAGUGUCAGUUUUUAAAAAUAAGAUUAAAAAUUUAAUGGAAAAUAAUAAACUUAAGCCACGAGUUACAUUUUCUAUAUAUUUUGACACUUUAACCCGUACUCUAUUUUUUUAAUACUUCAAAAUUAAAGUUUUAGCCACUUGAAAACCAUAGUAUUUUUCAAUGCUUGUGCUUCUGAGCUUCUGGUUCCCUCUAGUGGCAGGAAUGAACUAUGCACUCUUAAUUUAAUGUUUUGAAAAUGCUCAACGCUACUUGAUGUAAUUAAUUCUCUGCAUAUUCAACAUUUCAUUAGGAGAAAAUUAAGCUUGCAACUAAUGGGAAGGAAGAAAAAAUGUAGAUUAAUGUAAAAUCAUAACUGGAAAUAUUGUGGGAACACUCGAUGAAUAUUCAAUUCAUUAGAGCAAAAGAAUCAGUGGGCUUUGGUUUUCAAAAGUUAUUAAGGUACAUAGUUUGGAGUGAAUGCUGUGGAAAUUUUAUCUAGGAAGCUAAGUGUAUCAAAUCAAGAGGAUAUCAUGGACAUAUAGAGUGGAGUGAUAAUUUACAUGGUUUCUUUCAUGUAUAGAUUUUCGAUAAUUAGGGAAUUUCGCCCCUGGGAGGUAGUAGUCUGUGGCAUUCAAAAGAUAACUAAGUGCAGUGGAAUUUCCCCUGGCCCCAGAAAUCAGAUUAUAGCGGUACAAAGAAUAAGAUAACUGAUCAGGCUUCUUUUGAAAAACGCAAGGCAGAAUUAUGCAGCUGAAAACUUUAAUAAAUGAUCUUGGUUCUAGCUUAAGAUCAGUCUUUGAUCAGCAGUCAUCAGUGGGAGGUGGUGCCUGUAAUACUUUAAAGGCCCUUGUUUGCCACCACCCCAAAGACAUUACCAAGAUCCGGAGUCUGGAGGCUGAGUUUGGGCAGUUGCUAUAAACUCUGACUGGCUGUUGCCAUUUAUCCUUGCUGGGCUUCAGUUUUCUCCUCUGUAAAGUGAAAUAGUAAUAAUUUACUGUUUGGUAGUUUGAUUUUGUGCCUUAAAUGAAAUGUGUAGAUACAACUCUUGCUAAUUUUAAAACAACCUUAAAAAUUAGGUUAUUAUUGACAAGUAGGACUUGUUAACUAUUGGUACUAGGUGUAGCAUGGGGAGAUGGGGAGAUGGAGAACCAUUCAGAAGGGAUAUUUCAACCAGGCUUAGGGCAAUUGCCAAGAAAUGUUGAAAAUUUUGCCAGUCUCUGAGUUCAAAACUGUAAUGCAUAAAGGAGGCUAGGCCAGAAAGGUAAAUGAAGGCAUGCAUGGAGAAUUAGUUUCCCAAGGGAAAGGGACUAGCCUUUUUCUCUGGAUCUGUGAACAGUGUUUAUUUUACACUUUUCUCUUUAUACUGUGUAACUGCUAGGCUUCCUUUGGGUCUUUGUUGGGAGUCCUGGGGGGGAGGGGUAGUGUUUUCAUUCACCUUUAUGAUUUGUCCUUGAAACUUUCUAAACACUCUUUUAUAUCAAUUAUUACUUGGUCGUUCCUGUUGUGGCACAGGGGAAAUGAAUCCCACUAGUGUCCAUGAGGAUGCAGGUUCCAUCCCUGGCCUCGAUCAAUGGGUCGGGGAUCCAGCGUUGCUGUGAGCUGUUGUGUAGGUCACAGACGAGGCUCGGAUCUAGUGUUGCUGUGGCUGUGGUGUGGGCUGGCAACUGUAGCUCUGAUUAGACCCCUAGUCUGAGAGCUUCUAUAUGCUGCG